RNAcentral lists this ribosomal RNA (247 nucleotides) under uncultured bacterium. RNAcentral describes it as "partial 16S ribosomal RNA". It matches the Rfam family "Bacterial small subunit ribosomal RNA", at positions 523 to 769 of the family's 1533-position model. The record is from RNAcentral.
AUACGUAGGGGGCAAGCGUUGUCCGGAAUGACUGGGCGUAAAGGGCGUGUAGGCGGUUUUUUAAGUCUGGAGUGAAAGUCCUGCUUUCAAGGUGGGAAUUGCUUUGGAAACUGGAGAACUUGAGUGCGGAAGAGGUAAGUGGAAUUCCCAGUGUAGCGGUGAAAUGCGUAAAGAUUGGGAAGAACACCAGUGGCGAAGGCGACUUACUGGGCCGUAACUGACGCUGAUGCGCGAAAGCGUGGGGAGC